This 852-nucleotide ribosomal RNA is filed under the name Nocardia sp. Its description in RNAcentral is "bacterial SSU rRNA". It matches the Rfam family "Bacterial small subunit ribosomal RNA", at positions 55 to 920 of the family's 1533-position model. The record is from RNAcentral. Lineage: Bacteria; Bacillati; Actinomycetota; Actinomycetes; Mycobacteriales; Nocardiaceae.
AUGUCUCGUCGAGCGGUAAGGCCCUUCGGGGUACACGAGCGGCGAACGGGUGAGUAACACGUGGGUGAUCUGCCCUGUACUUCGGGAUAAGCCUGGGAAACUGGGUCUAAUACCGGAUAUGACCUUCGGUUGCAUGACCGUGGGUGGAAAGAUUUAUCGGUACAGGAUGGGCCCGCGGCCUAUCAGCUUGUUGGUGGGGUAAUGGCCUACCAAGGCGACGACGGGUAGCCGGCCUGAGAGGGCGACCGGCCACACUGGGACUGAGACACGGCCCAGACUCCUACGGGAGGCAGCAGUGGGGAAUAUUGCACAAUGGGCGAAAGCCUGAUGCAGCGACGCCGCGUGAGGGAUGACGGCCUUCGGGUUGUAAACCUCUUUCGACAGGGACGAAGCGCAAGUGACGGUACCUGUAGAAGAAGCACCGGCCAACUACGUGCCAGCAGCCGCGGUAAUACGUAGGGUGCGAGCGUUGUCCGGAAUUACUGGGCGUAAAGAGCUUGUAGGCGGUUCGUCGCGUCGUUCGUGAAAACUUGGGGCUCAACCCCAAGCUUGCGGGCGAUACGGGCGGACUAGAGUACUUCAGGGGAGACUGGAAUUCCUGGUGUAGCGGUGAAAUGCGCAGAUAUCAGGAGGAACACCGGUGGCGAAGGCGGGUCUCUGGGAAGUAACUGACGCUGAGAAGCGAAAGCGUGGGUAGCGAACAGGAUUAGAUACCCUGGUAGUCCACGCCGUAAACGGUGGGUACUAGGUGUGGGUUUCCUUCCACGGGAUCCGUGCCGUAGCUAACGCAUUAAGUACCCCGCCUGGGGGAGUACGGCCGCAAGGCUAAAACUCAAAGGAAUUGACGGGGGC